UGAAUACGAGACGCUACGGCGUCGAAGCAGUCUAUGUCAUACUUCCAAGAAAAGCUCGCAAUGUCAUAAACAAAUAAUGCCUGUACCAUAACCGACACAGGUGGGUAGGUAGAGUAUACUAAGGGGCGCGAGAUAACUCUCUCUAAGGAACUCGGCAAAAUAACUCCGUAACUUCGGGAGAAGGAGUGCCUUAUUUAUAAGGUUGCAAUAACAAGAUCCAAGCAACUGUUUAUCAAAAACACAGGUCUCCGCUAAGUCGUAAGACGAUGUAUGGGGGCUGACGCCUGCCCAGUGCCAGAAGGUUAAAGAAGUUGGUUAGCAUUCGCGAAGCUGAUAACUGAAGCCCUGGUGAACGGCGGCCGUAACGAUAACGGUCCUAAGGUAGCGAAAUUCCUUGUCGGGUAAGUUCCGACCCGCACGAAAGGCGUAAUGAUUUGGAUACUGUCUCGGAGAGGGGCUCGGUGAAAUAGACUUGUCUGUGAAGAUGCGGACUACCUGCACCUGGACAGAAAGACCCUAUGAAGCUUUACUGUAACUUGAAAUUGAAAUUGGACUUUAUUUGCGCAGCAUAGGUGGGAGGCGUUGAGAGUAUUCUUGCGGGAAUAUUGGAGCCAUCAGUGAGAUACCACUCUUGUAAUGUUAGAUUUCUAACUUUGGAUCAUUAUCUGGUCAAAGAACAGUUUCAGGCGGGCAGUUUGACUGGGGCGGUCGCCUCCCAAAUGGUAACGGAGGCGUACAAAGGUUUCCUCUGAACGGGUAGAAAUCGUAUCUAGAGUGUAAAGGCAUAAGGAAGCUUGACUGUGAGACCUACAAGUCGAGCAGGGACGAAAGUCGGUCUUAGUGAUCUGACGGUGCUGAGUGGAAAGGCCGUCACUCAACGGAUAUAAGUUACUCUAGGAUAACAGGCUGAUCUCCCCCAAGAGUUCACAUCGACGGGGAGGUUUGGCACCUCGAUGUCGGCUCAUCGCAUCCUGGGGCGGUAGUACGUCCCAAGGGUUGGGCUGUUCGCCCAUGAAAGCGGUACGCGAGCUGGGUUCAGAACGUCGUGAGACAGUUCGGUCCAUAUCCGGUGUAGGCGUUAGAAUAUUGAGAGGAGCCUUCUUUAGUACGAGAGGACCGAGAAGGACAUACCUCUGGUGUACCAGUUAUCGUGCCAACGGUAAACGCUGGGUAGCUAUGUAUGGAGAGGAUAACCGCUGAAAGCAUCUAAGUGGGAAGCCCACCUCAAGAUAAGUAUUCUCAU
This 1243-nucleotide ribosomal RNA is filed under the name metagenome. Its description in RNAcentral is "bacterial LSU rRNA". It matches the Rfam family "Bacterial large subunit ribosomal RNA", at positions 1564 to 2817 of the family's 2925-position model. The record is from RNAcentral.